This 292-nucleotide ribosomal RNA is filed under the name uncultured bacterium. RNAcentral describes it as "partial 16S ribosomal RNA". It matches the Rfam family "Bacterial small subunit ribosomal RNA", at positions 505 to 796 of the family's 1533-position model. The record is from RNAcentral.
GUGUCAGCAGCCGCGGUAAGACGUAGGAGGCGAGCGUUAUCCGGAUUCACUGGGCGUAAAGCGCAUGUAGGCGGCUGGACAAGUCGUGUGUUAAAGCCCCUGGCUCAACUGGGGGAGGUCAUGCGAGACUGUUCGGCUGGAGGGCAACAGAGGCACGUGGAACUCCCGGUGUAGCGGUGGAAUGCGUAGAGAUCGGGAAGAACACCAGUGGCGAAGGCGACGUGCUGGGUUGCACCUGACGCUGAGAUGCGAAAGUGUGGGGAGCAAACGGGAUUAGAAACCCCAGUAGUCC